GACGAACGCUGGCGGCGUGCUUAACACAUGCAAGUCGAACGGAAAGGCCCUGCUUUUGUGGGGUGCUCGAGUGGCGAACGGGUGAGUAACACGUGAGUAGCCUGCCCUUGACUUUGGGAUAACUUCAGGAAACUGGGGCUAAUACCGGAUAGGAGCUCCUGCUGCAUGGUGGGGGUUGGAAAGUUUCGGCGGUUGGGGAUGGACUCGCGGCUUAUCAGCUUGUUGGUGGGGUAGUGGCUUACCAAGGCUUUGACGGGUAGCCGGCCUGAGAGGGUGACCGGCCACAUUGGGACUGAGAUACGGCCCAGACUCCUGCGGGAGGCAGCAGUGGGGAAUAUUGCACAAUGGGCGGAAGCCUGAUGCAGCAACGCCGCGUGCGGGAUGACGGCCUUCGGGUUGUAAACCGCUUUCGCCUGUGACGAAGCGUGAGUGACGGUAAUGGGUAAAGAAGCACCGGCUAACUACGUG
RNAcentral lists this ribosomal RNA (468 nucleotides) under uncultured bacterium. RNAcentral describes it as "partial 16S ribosomal RNA". It matches the Rfam family "Bacterial small subunit ribosomal RNA", at positions 28 to 507 of the family's 1533-position model. The record is from RNAcentral.